Molecule: ribosomal RNA, 480 nt
Filed under: cf. Hypocrea sp. LC-G3/1
Lineage: Eukaryota; Fungi; Ascomycota; Sordariomycetes; Hypocreales
Description: SSU rRNA
Rfam family: Eukaryotic small subunit ribosomal RNA
Source: RNAcentral
ACUGCGAAUGGCUCAUUAUAUAAGUUAUCGUUUAUUUGAUAAUACUUUACUACUUGGAUAACCGUGGUAAUUCUAGAGCUAAUACAUGCUGAAAAUCCCGACUUCGGAAGGGAUGUAUUUAUUAGAUUAAAAACCAAUGCCCCUCGGGGCUCUCUGGUGAAUCAUGAUAACUAGUCGAAUCGACAGGCCUUGUGCCGGCGAUGGCUCAUUCAAAUUUCUUCCCUAUCAACUUUCGAUGUUUGGGUAUUGGCCAAACAUGGUGGCAACGGGUAACGGAGGGUUAGGGCUCGACCCCGGAGAAGGAGCCUGAGAAACGGCUACUACAUCCAAGGAAGGCAGCAGGCGCGCAAAUUACCCAAUCCCGACACGGGGAGGUAGUGACAAUAAAUACUGAUACAGGGCUCUUUUGGGUCUUGUAAUCGGAAUGAGUACAAUUUAAAUCCCUUAACGAGGAACAAUUGGAGGGCAAGUCUGGUGCGC